Molecule: long non-coding RNA, 150 nt
Organism: Maniola jurtina (meadow brown)
Lineage: Eukaryota; Metazoa; Arthropoda; Insecta; Lepidoptera; Nymphalidae
Exons: 2
Source: RefSeq, a predicted model, not a curated record
AGUAUUCCUAGAAUGUUUGAUUUCAUUUGUUCUUUCUUCGCGGGCAUUCCUAUUAGAACGAAUUUCAUUUGAUACUCUUUCUUCGCGAGUAUUUCUAGAGUGUCGAAUUUCAUUUGAUGCUCGUUCUUCGCGAGUAUCCCUAGAGUGUCG